Long non-coding RNA from Macrosteles quadrilineatus (aster leafhopper), 279 nucleotides. RefSeq lists it as uncharacterized. The record is from RefSeq and is a predicted model, not a curated record. Lineage: Eukaryota; Metazoa; Arthropoda; Insecta; Hemiptera; Cicadellidae. The transcript is spliced from 3 exons.
UAAAUUAUAAUUUAAGAACACGUAUAAAUAUUUAAACCAGCAGAGGACAGGUGUUAUAAAUUACAACUAGAACCUUCAAGUACCUCGUUCAACAACAAUAAAGAUGAAAUUUGCAUCAGCUUUCAUCGUGGCACUUGCUACCUUUCUGGCAUUCAUCGAUCUCACGAUCGCCAAACCUGAACCUAAGCCUUUUGCAGGUUAUGGUGAUUACUCCUAGACCUGAUGUUAUUUAUGGCUAACUUGUUUCGCAAUGAAAAGAAAUAAAACUUUAUGAGAGUU